Molecule: ribosomal RNA, 495 nt
Filed under: uncultured bacterium
Lineage: Bacteria
Description: partial 16S ribosomal RNA
Rfam family: Bacterial small subunit ribosomal RNA
Source: RNAcentral
GACGAACGCUGGCGGCGUGCCUAAUACAUGCAAGUAGAACGCUGAAGGAGGAGCUUGCUUCUCUGGAUGAGUUGCGAACGGGUGAGUAACGCGUAGGUAACCUGCCUGGUAGCGGGGGAUAACUAUUGGAAACGAUAGCUAAAACCGCAUAAGAGUAGAUGUUGCAUGACAUUUGCUUAAAAGGUGCAAUUGCAUCACUACCAGAUGGACCUGCGUUGUAUUAGCUAGUUGGUGGGGUAACGGCUUACCAAGGCGACGAUACAUAGCCGACCUGAGAGGGUGAUCGGCCACACUGGGACUGAGACACGGCCCAGACGCCUACGGGAGGCAGCAGUAGGGAAUCUUCGGCAAUGGACGGAAGUCUGACCGAGCAACGCCGCGUGAGUGAAGAAGGGUUUCGGAUCGUAAAGCUCUGUUGUAAGAGAAGAACGAGUGUGAGAGUGGAAAGUUCACACUGUGACGGUAGCUUAACAGAAAGGGACGGCUAACUACGUG